RNAcentral lists this ribosomal RNA (272 nucleotides) under uncultured bacterium. RNAcentral's name for it is "partial 16S ribosomal RNA". It matches the Rfam family "Bacterial small subunit ribosomal RNA", at positions 82 to 354 of the family's 1533-position model. The record is from RNAcentral.
CCUUUGCCGGCGACCGGCGCACGGGUGAGUAACACGUAUGCAACCUGCCCUCUUCAGGGGGACAACCUUCCGAAAGGGAGGCUAAUCCCGCGUAUAUCGGUUUCGGGCAUCCGAGAUCGAGGAAAGAUUCAUCGGAAGAGGAUGGGCAUGCGGCGCAUUAGCUAGACGGCGGGGUAACGGCCCACCGUGGCGACGAUGCGUAGGGGUUCUGAGAGGAAGGCCCCCCACCACUGGAACUGAGACACGGUCCAGACUCCUACGGAAGGCAGCAG